RNAcentral lists this ribosomal RNA (484 nucleotides) under uncultured bacterium. RNAcentral describes it as "partial 16S ribosomal RNA". It matches the Rfam family "Bacterial small subunit ribosomal RNA", at positions 30 to 507 of the family's 1533-position model. The record is from RNAcentral.
AUUGAACGCUGGCGGCAGGCCUAACACAUGCAAGUCGAGCGGAAGAAGGGAGCUUGCUCGUGGAUUCAGCGGCGGACGGGCGAGUAAUGCCUAGGAAUCUGCCUGGCUGUGGGGGAUAACGUCCGGAAACGGGCGAUAAUACCGCAUAAGUCCUGAGGGAGAAAGUGGGGGAGCUUCGGACCUUACGCCCUCAGAUGAGCCUAGGUCGGAUUAGCUAGUUGGUGGGGUAAAGGCCUACCAAGGCGACGAUCCGUAACUGGUCUGAGAGGAUGAUCAGUCACACUGGAACUGAGACACGGUCCAGACUCCUACGGGAGGCAGCAGUGGGGAAUAUUGGACAAUGGGCGAAAGCCUGAUCCAGCCAUACCGCGUGUGUGAAGAAGGUCUUCGGGUUGUAAAGCCCUUUUGGUUGGGAAGAAAAGCAGUAAGUUAAUACCUUGCUGUUUUGACGUUACCCACAGAAUAAGCACCGGCUAACUUCGUG